Molecule: long non-coding RNA, 552 nt
Filed under: Sinocyclocheilus anshuiensis
Lineage: Eukaryota; Metazoa; Chordata; Actinopteri; Cypriniformes; Cyprinidae
Description: lncRNA (ENSSANG00000035726.1)
Source: RNAcentral
CGCAAUCAAUGAAAGCUGGCCAGGAGAAAAGGUCCUUCAGGAAUCGGAUGCAGUGAGGAAGAGGAGGAUGAAGAGGAUCGCAGAACGAUCAUCUGCUUCUUUGGACACAUUGUUAUCCCUGAUUCUCAGAGGUAUGUCGGGGUGAGCUGGUCAAGUGGACUGUUAUCUCGCAUGGCCCUGUACAAACCCGUAUGACCGUCUGCCUGCACGCUGAGCCGGGGGAGCAUGAGGAUAAACGGAUGCAUGAGCCUUCAUCACUCUCCCUCCACCAACAUCAUCAUCAUCAUCAUCAUCAUCAUCAUCAUCAUUUACCUUGAAGGGGGUGAGGAGGAGGUGCUCCAGAACACAUCAGACGCUCCUCUGCGGGUGGAAAGGGAGAGAAGUGGUGACUUGCCGAUUUUCUCAGAUCAGCAGCGCUGAUGACUUCUCUCAGGGGGAGCUGACCCAAUUCGCCUGGGUGUUUAUCACCGGCACAACAAGGUCAUGGCUGACAAAGCAGCGCUAGUGUGGUCUCUUUAUGCUGUGGGGUGGGAUGGGAAGGCCCAGGGCGGU